RNAcentral lists this ribosomal RNA (794 nucleotides) under uncultured bacterium. Its description in RNAcentral is "bacterial SSU rRNA". It matches the Rfam family "Bacterial small subunit ribosomal RNA", at positions 8 to 796 of the family's 1533-position model. The record is from RNAcentral.
AGAGUUUGAUCAUGGCUCAGAUUGAACGCUGGCGGCAGGCUUAACACAUGCAAGUCGAGCGGGGAAAGGUAGCUUGCUACCUGACCUAGCGGCGGACGGGUGAGUAAUGCUUAGGAAUCUGCCUAUUAGUGGGGGACAACAUCUCGAAAGGGAUGCUAAUACCGCAUACGUCCUACGGGAGAAAGCAGGGGACCUUCGGGCCUUGCGCUAAUAGAUGAGCCUAAGUCGGAUUAGCUAGUUGGUGGGGUAAAGGCCUACCAAGGCGACGAUCUGUAGCGGGUCUGAGAGGAUGAUCCGCCACACUGGGACUGAGACACGGCCCAGACUCCUACGGGAGGCAGCAGUGGGGAAUAUUGGACAAUGGGGGGAACCCUGAUCCAGCCAUGCCGCGUGUGUGAAGAAGGCCUUUUGGUUGUAAAGCACUUUAAGCGAGGAGGAGGCUACCGAGAUUAAUACUCUUGGAUAGUGGACGUUACUCGCAGAAUAAGCACCGGCUAACUCUGUGCCAGCAGCCGCGGUAAUACAGAGGGUGCAAGCGUUAAUCGGAUUUACUGGGCGUAAAGCGCGCGUAGGUGGCCAAUUAAGUCAAAUGUGAAAUCCCCGAGCUUAACUUGGGAAUUGCAUUCGAUACUGGUUGGCUAGAGUAUGGGAGAGGAUGGUAGAAUUCCAGGUGUAGCGGUGAAAUGCGUAGAGAUCUGGAGGAAUACCGAUGGCGAAGGCAGCCAUCUGGCCUAAUACUGACACUGAGGUGCAAAAGCAUGGGGAGCAAACAGGAUUAGAUACCCCGGUAGUCC